Molecule: long non-coding RNA, 685 nt
Filed under: Phoenix dactylifera (date palm)
Lineage: Eukaryota; Viridiplantae; Streptophyta; Magnoliopsida; Arecales; Arecaceae
Description: long non-coding RNA (PDAC_LNC002537)
Source: RNAcentral
AUCUGGAAUGAGCACAAGAAGCAUUUAGUCUAAAGAUAAUGGCACUCUUUUUCAUUAUAUCUUCCUUAGGAAAACUUGAUCCUUGUUUCUUUUUAAUAUGAGAAUUUUGCUAAAACAUCAGUUUGUGCCCGUGGAGGAAUCUGUUUUCAGUAUUUCCAUUGCAUCUUUAUCUCAUUCCUAAUGUUUGCAAUUGAUUACUGAUUCAAUUUAGUGGUGAUUGAACUGAGUUAUUGGGUCUGCUUGAUUAAUAAUUGGAUUGGAAUGCAAUUGACCCUUUUAGGGCUUUACACUCUUUUUAAUUACAUUUUCCUUAGGAAAUCUUAAUCCUUGUUUCUGUUUAAUAUGAGAAUUUUGCUAAAACAUCAGUUUGUACCUUUGCAGGAAUCUGUUUUCAGUAUUAGCAUUGCAUCUUAUCUCAUUCCAGAUAUCUGCAAUCGAUUACUGAUUCAAUUUGGGUCUGCUUGAUGAAUAAUCGGGUAGGAAUGCGAUAGCCCUUUUAGGGCUUGUUUGGAUACAUCUAUAUCUCUCGGUAUUUCAGGAGAAUGGGACAAUUCAUGUUUAUGUUAUACCUAAAAGGUAUGUGUACUCAAAUAUUGUUCUUGUGGACGACGCUACAAGACUUCCCAGGGAGAAAGGAUAAAAAAACGCCUGUACUAAGCUCCAUCCUAUUUCCACUAAAAAAUUU